Molecule: long non-coding RNA, 309 nt
Organism: Arabidopsis thaliana (thale cress)
Lineage: Eukaryota; Viridiplantae; Streptophyta; Magnoliopsida; Brassicales; Brassicaceae
Product: other RNA
Exons: 1
Source: RefSeq
UUCAGGGAGUAAUGGCCAUGGCGCGACGGUGAAGGGUUAGAGGUUAGUUCUAAGGAAACGGUUAAGGGUUGGUUUGGGAGGAGAGUGUCGGAAGGUUGCGAAAAGCUUUGCCAAAUGGUUGGACCAGCAGUAACUUCUGUUCCAAGGAGGAGGAAGUUUCCAGAUUCGGACAUAACCGCUGAUUCAACACCAUGGUUUGACGUGUUUGAGGUCCAGACGACAGUGUUUUGGUCGGAGAGUACGAGGUUUCCCGUGGCUUCUAGCUCCAACACGGCUUCUUUUGUGACUGGGGAGUUUCUAUAUUUUAGA